AGUUUGGACCUCUCUCCUCCUCUUUCCCGUAUAAACCUCUCUCUUCCCUCUCGUUCAUCUCUCCUUCUCUUUUUCCCAUAGACAUCUCUCUACCUCUCGUUCGCAACCUUUCCUCUUCACAAUCUUGAACAAUCUGUGCAAGUUCUCUGGCAAAUACAAACUCGCAUCUCCAGUUUUUGCAAGUUUGCAUUCCAUUUGAGUACGUUUCUUAUUAGCAUUUUUUUUAUAAUAGCUCAUUUGAGUACGUCUCUCACUUCUCCAAGCCUCCACAUUUCCAGCUGCGGCUCCAAUGGGGGCCUGAAGCUCCAUGGCAGCUGUAUUCUCUUCUUUUAGGCUUUGGAAGAGUUCGUCCUGUUGCGAAUCAACCUUACCCUUCUGCAAGAGUCCAUGGGGGGCCUAAAGCUCCAGGGCAGCUGCAUUCACCUCAUUUGGUCUUUGAAAGAGCUCGUCCUGCUAUAAGUCAUUCUUACCCAUUUGCAGGAAUCCAUAGUGUAUAGAUGUCGCAAGUGAUCACUCAUCGUCGGAGUGUGACCAAUGAGCUUCCCGCAUUAUAAGCAUCUACUGCUCCAGGUCAAACACCGCAGAGGUCGAUGCGUUGAAGGAGGAAGUGACAACCCUAAAGGGUCAACUUGCGAUCCAGGGCCAGCAAAUGAGGGCCCAGGGCGAGGAGCCUAUGUUAGGCACGUGAGAGACCUUGUACGAGCCAUACAGAUGAUCGGCAUCCAAAUCUCGCUACCAGUACCUGAUCUUGCUCCACCUUCGACCUCUGAGCCACUUCACCUAGAAGACUACUUGUAAUUUUUUUUUUGUUCGAACAUCUUGUAUGUACAUUUUCAUAUAUUUUAUAAUAAAAUACUUUUCUUUGGUUAA
This is a long non-coding RNA of Pyrus x bretschneideri (Chinese white pear), 870 nucleotides long. RefSeq lists it as uncharacterized. NCBI's taxonomy places the organism in Eukaryota, Viridiplantae, Streptophyta, Magnoliopsida, Rosales, Rosaceae. The transcript is spliced from 4 exons. The record is from RefSeq and is a predicted model, not a curated record.